RNAcentral lists this ribosomal RNA (523 nucleotides) under uncultured bacterium. RNAcentral's name for it is "bacterial SSU rRNA". It matches the Rfam family "Bacterial small subunit ribosomal RNA", at positions 355 to 896 of the family's 1533-position model. The record is from RNAcentral.
UGGGGAAUAUUGGACAAUGGGGGCAACCCUGAUCCAGCCAUGCCGCGUGAGUGAUGAAGGCCUUCGGGUUGUAAAGCUCUUUUGGCGGGGACGAUGAUGACGGUACCCGCAGAAUAAGCCCCGGCUAACUUCGUGCCAGCAGCCGCGGUAAGACGAAGGGGGCUAGCGUUGUUCGGAAUUACUGGGCGUAAAGCGCGUGUAGGCGGUUGUCCAAGUUGGAUGUGAAAGCCUUGAGCUUAACUCAAGAAAUGCAUUCAGGACUGGAUGACUAGAGGACCGGAGAGGAUAGUGGAAUUCCCAGUGUAGUGGUGAAAUACGUAGAGAUUGGGAAGAACACCAGUGGCGAAGGCGGCUAUCUGGACGGUUUCUGACGCUAAGACGCGAAAGCGCGGGGAGCAAACAGGAUUAGAUACCCUGGUAGUCCACGCCGUAAACGAUGGGUGCUAGACGUUGGCGAGCUUGCUCGUCAGUGUCGCAGCUAACGCGUUAAGCACCCCGCCUGGGGAGUACGGCCGCAAGGUUG